This 417-nucleotide ribosomal RNA is filed under the name uncultured Campylobacter sp. RNAcentral's name for it is "bacterial SSU rRNA". It matches the Rfam family "Bacterial small subunit ribosomal RNA", at positions 349 to 782 of the family's 1533-position model. The record is from RNAcentral. Lineage: Bacteria; Pseudomonadati; Campylobacterota; Epsilonproteobacteria; Campylobacterales; Campylobacteraceae.
CAGCAGUAGGGAAUAUUGCUCAAUGGGCGAAAGCCUGAAGCAGCAACGCCGCGUGGAGGAUGACACUUUUCGGAGCGUAAACUCCUUUUCUUAGGGAAGAAUAAUGACGGUACCUAAGGAAUAAGCACCGGCUAACUCCGUGCCAGCAGCCGCGGUAAUACGGAGGGUGCAAGCGUUACUCGGAAUCACUGGGCGUAAAGGACGCGUAGGCGGAUUAUCAAGUCUUUUGUGAAAUCUAAUGGCUUAACCAUUAAACUGCUUGAGAAACUGAUAAUCUAGAGUGAGGGAGAGGCAGAUGGAAUUGGUGGUGUAGGGGUAAAAUCCGUAGAGAUCACCAAGAAUACACAUUGCGAAGGCGAUCUGCUAGAACUCAACUGACGCUAAUGCGUGAAAGCGUGGGGAGCAAACAGGAUUAGA